Molecule: long non-coding RNA, 389 nt
Filed under: Bos taurus (domestic cattle)
Lineage: Eukaryota; Metazoa; Chordata; Mammalia; Artiodactyla; Bovidae
Description: long non-coding RNA NONBTAT009205
Source: RNAcentral
CCUCAGAAAUACACAGGUCUGAACUUCAACUUCUGCUUUGCCAGUUCCUCUUAAUAACAUUGGAGGUCUUUUCUUAUAAAUGGAAAUUCAUGGGUUUCUGAUUUCUGCUUCAUUUACAAUUGUAUUCAUUUUAAUCUGAAUGUGUUUUCACUUAGUUAUAUUUAUCUUAAAAAGUAAUUCACAGAAAUAGCCUUUGCCUACCAGCUGAAAUCUGUUUGGUUGUCAUCAAGAAGAAUGGGGCACCAUGUCCAGCAUUGUGGGAAUUACAUUAUUUUCAUGAAUUCAAUAUUUGCUCAACCUUUUAUUCUUUUCUGUAACAAUGGUAAGAUCUCUCUCCCCAAUAGUUCCAUAACUAUUUCCCUCAACCCAAUGCUUAUACCUGUAUUUUG